RNAcentral lists this ribosomal RNA (660 nucleotides) under uncultured bacterium. RNAcentral describes it as "bacterial SSU rRNA". It matches the Rfam family "Bacterial small subunit ribosomal RNA", at positions 94 to 788 of the family's 1533-position model. The record is from RNAcentral.
AGUGGCGGACGGGUGAGUAACGCGUGAGAAUCUGCCUUGGGGUCGGGGACAACCACUGGAAACGGUGGCUAAUACCGGAUAAGCCGAUUGGUGAAAGAUUUAUUGCCCGAAGAGGAGCUCGCGUCUGAUUAGCUAGUUGGUGAGGUAAGAGCUCACCAAGGCAGCGAUCAGUAGCUGGUCUGAGAGGACGAUCAGCCACACUGGGACUGAGACACGGCCCAGACUCCUACGGGAGGCAGCAGUGGGGAAUUUUCCGCAAUGGGCGAAAGCCUGACGGAGCAAGACCGCGUGAGGGAGGAAGGCUCUUGGGUUGUAAACCUCUUUUCUCAGGGAAGAAGCUCUGACGGUACCUGAGGAAUCAGCCUCGGCUAACUCCGUGCCAGCAGCCGCGGUAAUACGGAGGAGGCAAGCGUUAUCCGGAAUUAUUGGGCGUAAAGCGUCCGCAGGUGGCGAUUCAAGUCUGCUGUCAAAGCACGGGGCUUAACUCCGUAAAGGCAGUGGAAACUGAAUAGCUAGAGUGCCGUAGGGGUAGAGGGAAUUCCCGGUGUAGCGGUGAAAUGCGUAGAGAUCGGGAAGAACAUCGGUGGCGAAAGUGCUCUACUGGACGGCAACUGACACUCAGGGACGAAAGCUAGGGGAGCGAAUGGGAUUAGAUACCCC